This 427-nucleotide ribosomal RNA is filed under the name uncultured bacterium. RNAcentral describes it as "partial 16S ribosomal RNA". It matches the Rfam family "Bacterial small subunit ribosomal RNA", at positions 355 to 774 of the family's 1533-position model. The record is from RNAcentral.
UGGGGAAUAUUGGACAAUGGGCGAAAGCCUGAUCCAGCCAUGCCGCGUGUGUGAAGAAGGUCUUCGGAUUGUAAAGCACUUUAAGUUGGGAGGAAGGGCAUUAACCUAAUACGUUAGUGUUUUGACGUUACCGACAGAAUAAGCACCGGCUAACUCUGUGCCAGCAGCCGCGGUAAUACAGAGGGUGCAAGCGUUAAUCGGAAUUACUGGGCGUAAAGCGCGCGUAGGUGGUUUGUUAAGUUGGAUGUGAAAUCCCCGGGCUCAACCUGGGAACUGCAUUCAAAACUGACUGACUAGAGUAUGGUAGAGGGUGGUGGAAUUUCCUGUGUAGCGGUGAAAUGCGUAGAUAUAGGAAGGAACACCAGUGGCGAAGGCGACCACCUGGACUAAUACUGACACUGAGGUGUGAAAGCGUGGGGAGCAAACA